RNAcentral lists this transfer RNA (64 nucleotides) under Polydora cf. ciliata DS-2023. RNAcentral's name for it is "tRNA-His". It matches the Rfam family "tRNA". From Rfam's summary of the family: Transfer RNA (tRNA) molecules are approximately 80 nucleotides in length. Their secondary structure includes four short double-helical elements and three loops (D, anti-codon, and T loops). Further hydrogen bonds mediate the characteristic L-shaped molecular structure. tRNAs have two regions of fundamental functional importance: the anti-codon, which is responsible for specific mRNA codon recognition, and the 3' end, to which the tRNAs corresponding amino acid is attached (by aminoacyl-tRNA synthetases). tRNAs cope with the degeneracy of the genetic code in two manners: having more than one tRNA (with a specific anti-codon) for a particular amino acid; and 'wobble' base-pairing, i.e. permitting non-standard base-pairing at the 3rd anti-codon position. The record is from RNAcentral. Lineage: Eukaryota; Metazoa; Annelida; Polychaeta; Spionida; Spionidae.
ACUGAGAUAGUUUAAAUAAAACAUCAGUUUGUGGCACCGAAAAUCAGAAAACUCUGUCUCAGUA